AAUGAAUCUAAUGGACUUCAAAAUAGUUAUAUAUGUGUAUGAAGUAGGAUUGGUUGUGAAUCAAUUUUGCCCAUUUUACAUCGGUAACAUCAGGAUAUGGUUUUUAACCAAUAAGUGGGUGGAGCCGACUCCAUUUCAAAUUUUGUAUACUAAUUUGAAUGAGGCUCUUCUGUGUCAUCUUUACCAUGAAAUUUAAGGUUUCUGGUUGUUUUCCUUACAGAAUUAAAGCAUUUUUAGUAGUUUUUGUAUUGGAGGUAGGCGUGAUUAUGAUCGAUUACCUCCAUUUUUAGACUGUAUAAGAAAGUGCCUAAAGGAAACGACUCCAGAGAGUUUGGUUGACAUAGCUUUAGCAGUUUACGAGAUAUGUACAACAAAUUUAGUAGGGGUCGGUGCAACGGCCACUUUCCCAAAAAACGGACGGAUGGAUGGACAGACAGACAUCCAGAUUUUAAAUCUACUUUUCGCCCUGAUAUCUUUGGUAUAUACAGUGGAACUUCUCUAACUCGAAUCACCAUAAUCCACCAAAAAUCUUCGAUUUAUGCAAUCCAUAAGUGUAAUAUCAUAUUUUUUGGUCGCCUCCAUACGAUAUAGAGAGUCAGUCUCUCUGUGAUUCUUCGUCGAUAGUAAAAUUUUUCAUUUUGUAUUAUGCCUUGGUCGAAAAGUUCGAUUUAUGGAAGGAAAUUUUUAUGUAAUUUGAGUUCUACUGCCAAUUCAAGAGUUCGAGUUAUGGAGAACUUCGAGUUAUAGAAGUUCAAGUUAUGGAAGGAAAUUUGUAUGGAUUUUGAUUUCUUAACGCUAUUGCCAAUUCAAAAGUCCGAGUUAUAGAGAUCUUCGAGUUAUGGAAGUUCCACUGUACUUAUAACCCUAUAUCUAACUUGUUUAGUUUUAGGUGAUACAAACAAACGUUAUAUGAACAAAUAUAUUAUACUCUCUUUGCAACUUGUUGCGAAGGAAUAAAUACUCCCUCGGAAUUCUAUAAAAUAUCUGAUAAGUUUAAAGAUAUUUUUCUGUAAAUAAUUAUCCAUUAGCACUGAGGCCCUCAUUUUCGGUGUCUGGGAAGAAGAAAAUAAAAAAAUAAGAAAAUAGUAUGUACUAAAUUAUGUUAAAUUUGGUUGAAUAGCUCCAGAAUAUGGCGUUUGAUUUAAAAGUGAGCGGUGCCACACGCAUUGUCCAAAUUAAAUACCAAUUUUUGUUCAGUUUUUUUCAUCACCUUUUCUGUAAAAAUUAGUGUUACUGGGGUUUUUUUGUUUAGUGAGAUAACGCACUUUAAGUAGUUUUCAACAUAACCUUUGUAUGAGGUAGUUUCUGAUUUCAAAUAAUGUACGGCAAAUUUGUCGAGUAAGUUUGGUUUAUUAGCUGUAGAAGUGUGCGAGAUAUGUUAAAAUAUAAAAUAUUUAAACAAUAGUAAAAAAAUCCAUGGUUUUUGCAUGAAAUUGAAGCGGAUUUAUGUCAAAUAUGUAUGUACCGCUUUGUUCGAAAACUUGUUGAGCUAAAUAAUUACAUAAUGCCGCUCUCAAAGAAAGCCUCGUGGGAGAGUCAGAUUUUUAAACGUUUCUCUUUAGGCGAACUUUUCAGAGGCAACAUCAUUCGCCAUAAACAUAUGUGCAUAUAUUACAUAUAGUGACUCCACCUUCGUAUUUACAUACUAACGGAAUUUUUGGCAUCGGCAUCGAGCAAAAAUUGGAAUCGGUCGGACACCGAUCUUUUAUAUACUCUAUUAACUUCAUUUUGAGGGGGAAUGGGAAAUGUUGACAAUCUGCAAUACCUUCUUAGGCGCCAAGGAAGAUAUUUCAAGAGAAAUAUGAUGUUUAGACGAGCGAUGUCAUAUCUCGAAUGCACUAUUUGCGUUAAGUUUUAUACCAAAAUCUUCACGUAGACGAGCGGUAUGACGAUAAGCCGUUCUCAAGACAAUCGAUUCUACGUAACCGGAACCCGGAUUUUAUCUGCCCACAAGGACUGUCAAAUCGGCAGCAUUCCUUAACAUUUGAGGAAUAUAUUAGCUGCUACAACGUUACGGCAAAUCUGCUCCAGAGCAACAUACAAGCACUCAUGAUUUAUCGCCACAAAUUCAGAUGCACCACGCCCUUUUUCGGCCAGGUUCUGUAAAGUCGGCAGAAUUCCUAAAAAUAUUUGCUACAAAUACAACAAACAUGUCGACUCUCAUAUGCAGAUUUGUGACUAUGGCUGAAGUAUGUAUACAUCAUUACCAGUUAGUAGCCCGGCAAUGUUUUAGUCAGUAUUUUUGGGAUGCAUGGGAAUAUUUUCAUUGGACAUCAAGAUUAAAGUUAGGUACAACUAAACCUAAAAAUUAUUGAUCCAAACCGGAUUAGAUCGUUGAAAUAACAGCACUUGGCCGGCCAAAAUCCAUUUCGAUAACGUAAAACCGGCUGUUGUAAGAAUCGGAAUGAGUUCCCCCCCGAUACUAGCCACCUCUUUGCAUGCCUAACGAAUCCGACUAAUCUAACACCCCUCUCCCUUUGGUUCGACCCUCUCGAAACAGCACGUUUCCUGGAAGAGAUAUCGUUAGUGAAACUACAACACCUUUUGAAAUACGCGUUAAGUGCGGGCAUCCUAAAGGAUGCCUACUUCUCCUUGACUACUUGACGGCGCUCCAUCUGGUAUCGCAAAUGACCAUAAUCGGACUAUGCGUUGGCUUACCAGAUUAACCUAACUUCAACUUAGACCAAAAGGCCAUGUUAUAUACUUCGAGGUUUCAUAACGCUUGUUGAAGGGUGAUUUUUAUUCGGAAAAAGUAUUUGAAAAUACCAAAAAGAGUACGCAAGAUAAAGUAAGUAAAAGAGUAAGAGCUUUUAUAUUUCUCCCAUUUAUUACACAUACAGAUGAAUGUUCGUUAUUAAUUCAAUAUUUAUUGUAUUGUAAACAUACGUGUCUUUUGGAAUCGAAUACUAGUAGCAUGGAUGAAUACGCUCUAAAACACAUUCUAAAAAUUAUUAUUUUUUAUUAUGUUUGAAUAACUAUUGUUUGAUAAAAGUUGACAUUGAGAUUUGAUAUUUCAAAAUGUAUAUUGAUAUUUAUUGUAUGUAUGUAUGCUUAUGGUUUGAUCAUGGAUAUCAUGAACUACUAUUGGAUACUAUUGGAAUAUGUGUUUAUAAUUGAAGACUAUUGUUAUUGUUGAGCAAAAUGCAAAAUGCAAAAUGAUUUCUGAAUCACCCAAAUGCCAUGUGCUCUACAACAUUUUCUACGCAGUCGCAUACAUUAAUUGUAAACACGAACGUUGGUAUUAUCUCGUACGUGUUUAUUAUUAAAUUUUUGCAAUUUUUUCGCAGUUGGGUAUGCAUAUUUCAUUUGAAAGCUUCUUAUCUUUACAAUUGAAUAUAAUCGUAAUAAUGCUUUUCAAAAUUUUAUUGCAUUAAAUUGGUAUGAGUUAAUUAUCUCGGGAUGAUGAUUGAAAAUAUUUAUAAAUCGUUUUCUGAUUAAUGUGCAAUUCAAACUCUCAUUAAUCCUUGUUUUAAAUUCCCAUACAAUGAUAAACCUUUACCAUUAUAUAAGUUUUGUGAAGUAAAUUGAAAUGUUUGAAGUUUAAAAAAUUUAUAUAAAGUUGAUAAAUCUAAUUCCGAUUUAUGUUGAUGUCUGCAAUUAUUGUUUGAUGAGUCGCAUAAACUCAGCAUGGAUGUUGUAGAGCAUUUAAAUUGGCAAUUUGUCGUCAGCUAUGUAUGUAUGUAUCUGAUUAUUGCAAGUGUAUUACUUAAAUGCUUCAAACAAUUCUUUA
Molecule: long non-coding RNA, 3730 nt
Organism: Zeugodacus cucurbitae (melon fly)
Lineage: Eukaryota; Metazoa; Arthropoda; Insecta; Diptera; Tephritidae
Exons: 2
Source: RefSeq, a predicted model, not a curated record